RNAcentral lists this ribosomal RNA (465 nucleotides) under Vreelandella stevensii. RNAcentral's name for it is "partial 16S ribosomal RNA". It matches the Rfam family "Bacterial small subunit ribosomal RNA", at positions 338 to 795 of the family's 1533-position model. Lineage: Bacteria; Pseudomonadati; Pseudomonadota; Gammaproteobacteria; Oceanospirillales; Halomonadaceae. The record is from RNAcentral.
CCUACGGGCGGCUGCAGUGGGGAAUAUUGGACAAUGGGGGGAACCCUGAUCCAGCCAUGCCGCGUGUGUGAAGAAGGCCCUCGGGUUGUAAAGCACUUUCAGUGAGGAAGAACGCCUGGUGGUUAAUACCCAUCAGGAAAGACAUCACUCACAGAAGAAGCACCGGCUAACUCCGUGCCAGCAGCCGCGGUAAUACGGAGGGUGCGAGCGUUAAUCGGAAUUACUGGGCGUAAAGCGCGCGUAGGUGGCUUGAUAAGCCGGUUGUGAAAGCCCCGGGCUCAACCUGGGAACGGCAUCCGGAUCUGUCGAGCUGGAGCGCAGAAGUGGAGGGUGGAACCCCGGGAGUAGCGGUGACAUGCGUAGGAAUAUGGAGGAGGACCGGUGGCGAAUGGGGAAUUCAUGGCUGAAACUGACCCUGAAGUUCGAGAGCGUGGGGAGCAGACAGGAUUAGGUACGCGCGUAGGC